AUGACAGUGAAGAUCAGCAACGUUUAUAGGCAUCUACGGCGGCGGCAAGUGGUAGUUGUAUACAGCCGCUGGUCCCCAAAUCGAGCUCAUCGCCACGCAAGAUGGAGCUUGAGGCCGCACCUAAACGACGCUGCCGCAUCUUGCAACACCUCCCUGGUGCCCCCGCUUCAGCUUCGCCUGGCCACGACGCCGAGGCACCUCCGCACGCCUGCAACUCCUCCCCGUUGCCCCGCUUCAGCUUCACUCGGCCACGACGGCGCCUCGCUGCUGCCUCGCCACAACUUCGCCCGGCCCUGCUGCCGCGCCUGGAUGGAUGACACAACCGCACGCCCGCAACGCCUUCCUGCUGCCGCACCGGCACCGAAAUUUCGCCCGGCCACGGCACCAACAUCAGGCUGGAACAUCGUUAGCGCCGGCGGACAUAGUCUGCAUUAA
Molecule: ribosomal RNA, 435 nt
Filed under: Triticum aestivum (bread wheat)
Lineage: Eukaryota; Viridiplantae; Streptophyta; Magnoliopsida; Poales; Poaceae
Description: partial small subunit ribosomal RNA
Source: RNAcentral